GUUAUUACAUCAAUCACAUGUGAUUAAUAUAAAGCAUUCAAAUGAUUUGGCUACUCAUUAGCCGUUUUACCAAACAGUUUCCUUCAAAUGAUUUUUAUAAACAUUUUAUAUGUUUUAAACUCCUUAUUACACUGUACAUUUUACUCUGUAUAUUACAUUUCAAACUUAUUUACAAUUGUGUUUCAACCAAAUGUUUCUUUAUACUAAACUGUUUUACCAAAACUUAUGCCUUCAAAUUGUUUUAUAGAUUGACAUCAAGUCGAUCUUUUGUAACACCGUAAAUUUUCAAACAAAAUUUUCAAGUUAUUUUCAUUCAAAAAAAGCAUAAACAUUUCAAGUGUCAUGCCAAAAAAUACAAGUCAUCUAAAUCCCAAGAUCACAAAACAUCCUUCAGUGUGUACAGAUCACGCUGGCGCCUUCCCACGGUCCUCGCUAGUACCUGAAACACAUACAUAACAACUGUAAGCAUAAAUGCUUAGUGAGUUCCCCAAUAUACAACUUACGCACAUACGCCUUUCCAGGCCCUGACCUUCCGGUCCAUGUGUCUCAGGGGACUUCCGUCCCUGCUGGGUAAACCUUCCGGUCCUACCCACGCCGACCUUCCGGUCCACCACACAACAUAUUGCCUUCCGGCCCAUAACAUAUUGCCUUCCGGCCCAUAAUAUAAUCGCCUUCCGGCCCAUAACAUACAUAGCACAUAUAACAAAUAACUUACCACAUAUAGCAUACAUAUCACAUAUCAUAUCCGACCUUCCGGUCACACAGUCAACCCCUUCCGGGUACAGUAUAGUGAGAAGACUCACCUCGUAAAUAUUGAAAGCUAGCAAAUCCCGAAGUCACUCGUACUCGAUCCGCCGAGCUACAAUCUCCCUAUAACAUCAUACAUCUCUUAUUAACACUUUUAUCUUCUAAGUUUGACUAUCCCUAAGAAGUCAAACAUAGGUCAACUCUGGUCAACGGUCAACGGUCAACUUGACCGGACUCGGCGAGUGCUAGGGCGACUCGGCGAGUCUAGACGUCCUCACCAAUUCUCUAAGAUUCCCUUUCUACUCGUCGAGUAUCCUCCUUGACUCGACGAGUUCCUCCUGGAAGAAUCGCGGGGCCACCCCGACUCAACUCGCCGAGUCUGAAGAACAACUCGACGAGUCCCAGUUAAUCUUCAAGCUACUCGCCGAGUCUGUUCAUCGAACUCGGCGAGUCCAUGCCAUGCAACCGCUCAAACUGCAUCCUAAGGUCAGAACUGCUCCGACCAUUCCUAGGUCUGGCCUUCCUAGACUGAUCCAUCACGUAAGGUCCUCAUUUCAGUGCUCAUGAUACACCCCAUGACUCAUAAUUUACAUUUUGACCUAAGGCAUAAGGAUUCCAAUCCAAAACCUCCAUUGAUUCCCGAAAUGCUCAGGCAUGGGACAUUCUGGACCUCCAAAGGUCCCAAUACAGGGUUCCAAUCGUUUGGGGGACUAGGGUAACAUUCAAUCUAGUCACAAAAGGGUUCCAUAAACCCUAAUUCCAUAAACACAUCAACAUAGCAGAGUAUACUCGAAUUCUUACCUGGAUGAUGUACUCUCUGUGUCCCCAAUCCUCAGAACGUGACUCCCUUGCUGUUCCUUUAGCCAAGCCCUUCUCUUCCUUGCACAACAACUCCUUCAAAAUCACCAAUGGCCUUUAACCUUGCUCCAGAUGCACACAAUCGAUUUAGGGUUCCUCUCAGAAGGCUAAAAUGAACAAUGACGGCCAAUAAGUCCCUUUUAUACGUCCCAAACCUGAACGGUUAGGGUUUUCGCUAAACAGCGCAGACUCGCCGAGUCCAUAUCCGGACUCGUCGAGUCCAGUCGCGAACCCGCGACCAGGUCUGCGAUCCUACUCGGCGAGUCUAGGCUCCAACUCGCCGAGUCCCCUCUUAAAACACCCAAAAUCAUAAAUAUAACAAUACCUGAAAUUCCGGGCUAUUACAUCUUUUCUUAAAAUAAUAGUUCUGUUUCAAAUGUCUUACAAAACUUAUUAUGCUUUUAUAUUA
This 2014-nucleotide long non-coding RNA is filed under the name Lactuca sativa (garden lettuce). RNAcentral's name for it is "long non-coding RNA (LSAT_LNC007755)". The record is from RNAcentral. Lineage: Eukaryota; Viridiplantae; Streptophyta; Magnoliopsida; Asterales; Asteraceae.